CUAGUCACUUGCGUAUUUAAAUUUGCUUAUAUAAUGUGCUAACCCGGAAACAAUGGAUAAAGGAAAACUACCAACUUGGCAGAAACACUGUGGGGUACUAGUACAAGUACAAUUUUGCUUGGCAUUUCCGGUUAUAGAGUUAGUAGUAUAGUUAUAAAAACUAUACAGGUUGGGAAAUUAAUCAUUACGCAUCUAUAGAUGCUUCAAGGCGAAAUAUAUGGCAAUGCGCACGCAUGCAUUUCGUGUGCUCGGCUACUCGCCUGCUACGUCGUUGUUUUAAGUACGACAAGUAGUAAGCGACUAAAGCGACUGACUGCUAAGUGUAUUACUUGCAAUAAAAUUUCGCAAAAUAUUACACGAAAGUUCAGGCAUUUUUUAAAAUAAAAUUUGUUAGCCUAUAAUAAAUUCGUGUUUGUAAAUGGUAUCCUUAAGGCUCCGCUACCUAUCCUUUCGAGUAGCUGCGGGGCAGCGGUGAGAGGCGAGGAAGAAAUUAUCUUACGGCGUCCAGUAUAGCAGAGAAAUUCUUAAAACGACGAACGUUAUAUUCCGGGUAUUCUGGGGAUUAGGGCUGGUUUAUUAUAAAGUUACGGUUUUUGCCUUUCCCACAGGCGGCAGGGUAUGAGAUAGGUAGGGACACAAAAAUCGACAUUAUUAUUCACCCUAAUAGUUAUUGGUCUAAGUUGUUUUAAAGAGAUGUUAAAUAUGGAUGAUUAUUAUAGAAAAGGAACAAAAAAACGACUUGAAUGAAAACACGAGGUUGAAUGCAAAAAGGAAACGUCCAAAAUAGAGAAUAUAACUUACAGUAUAGUAUACGAUACUUUUUUUAUUUGAACAAUGCCAUUGAUAAGCGACCGGUACACGGAUCCAAUGGCAGCUUGAUUUUUUAGUGACGCCCUUACACGCGUUUAUAUACAUGCGAUUAAUGCGUUAUAUGUAAAUGGACAUUGAAUUUUUCUGAAAAAAUUGCGACGUUUCCUCGAAGACGAAGUCCUCUAUAUCAACUAUUUUAUUAGUUUUUUUUUUAAUCGUGGCCUUGUAACUGUAACCGGUUCUGAGAAAAAAUAACUUGUGAAAAGGCCGCUACGUCCUUGGAAUACAGAAGAACAUGGAAUACACUAGAAUAAACAUUGGCUGCUUUGGCUUGAGCGCAACAUCUACACAGGGGGCAGAGAGGAUAUUUUGUUCAUAAACAUGCUUCGUAUUCCAUGUUGCUAGUAAUUACUCAAUUUUAACAGAAGGAAAUAAAGUGAUAUAAUAAAUUAUUAUAAUUAGCAGAAA
Molecule: long non-coding RNA, 1278 nt
Organism: Anthonomus grandis grandis
Lineage: Eukaryota; Metazoa; Arthropoda; Insecta; Coleoptera; Curculionidae
Exons: 2
Source: RefSeq, a predicted model, not a curated record